CCUAGGAAUCUGCCUGGUAGUGGGGGAUAACGUUCGGAAACGAACGCUAAUACGCAUACGUCCUACGGGAGAAAGCAGGGGACCUUCGGGCCUUGCGCUAUCAGAUGGCCUAGGUCGGAUUAGCUAGUUGGUGAGGUAAUGGCUCACCAAGGCGACGAUCCGUAACUGGUCUGAGAGGAUGAUCAGUCACACUGGAACUGAGACACGGUCCAGACUCACGGGAGGCAGCAGUGGGGAAUAUUGGACAAUGGGCGAAAGCCUGAUCCAGCCAGCCGCGUGUGUGAAGAAGGUCUUCGGAUUGUAAAGCACUUUAAGUUGGGAGGAAGGGCAGUUACCUAAUACGUGAUUGUUUUGACGUUACCGACAGAAUAAGCACCGGCUAACUCUGUGCCAGCAGCCGCGGUAAUACAGAGGGUGCAAGCGUUAAUCGGAAUUACUGGGCGUAAAGCGCGCGUAGGUGGUUUGUUAAGUUGGAUGUGAAAUCCCCGGGCUCAACCUGGGAACUGCAUUCAAAACUGACUGACUAGAGUAUGGUAGAGGGUGGUGGAAUUUCCUG
RNAcentral lists this ribosomal RNA (556 nucleotides) under Stenotrophomonas maltophilia. RNAcentral describes it as "bacterial SSU rRNA". It matches the Rfam family "Bacterial small subunit ribosomal RNA", at positions 116 to 673 of the family's 1533-position model. Lineage: Bacteria; Pseudomonadati; Pseudomonadota; Gammaproteobacteria; Lysobacterales; Lysobacteraceae. The record is from RNAcentral.